This 448-nucleotide ribosomal RNA is filed under the name uncultured bacterium. RNAcentral describes it as "bacterial SSU rRNA". It matches the Rfam family "Bacterial small subunit ribosomal RNA", at positions 330 to 792 of the family's 1533-position model. The record is from RNAcentral.
CCCAGACUCCUACGGGAGGCAGCAGUGGGGAAUAUUGGGCAAUGGGCGCAAGCCUGACCCAGCAACGCCGCGUGAAGGAAGAAGGCUUUCGGGUUGUAAACUUCUUUUCUCAGGGACGAAGAAAGUGACGGUACCUGAGGAAUAAGCCACGGCUAACUACGUGCCAGCAGCCGCGGUAAUACGUAGGUGGCAAGCGUUAUCCGGAUUUACUGGGUGUAAAGGGCGUGUAGGCGGGACUGCAAGUCAGAUGUGAAAACCAUGGGCUCAACCCAUGGCCUGCAUUUGAAACUGUAGUUCUUGAGUGUUGGAGAGGCAGGCGGAAUUCCGGGUGUGGCGGUGAAAUGCGUAGAUAUUAGGAGGAACACCAGUGGCGAAGGCGGCCUGCUGGACGAUGACUGACGUUGAGGCUCGAAAGCGUGGGGAGCAAACAGGAUUAGAUACCCCAGUA